AUUGAACGCUGGCGGCAGGCUUAACACAUGCAAGUCGAGCGAGCGGCGGACGGGUGAGUACUGUCUGGGAAACUGCCUGAUGGAGGGGGAUAACUACUGGACACGGUCGCUAAUCCCGCAUACCAUCAGCUGUGCCCAGAUGGGAUUAGCUAUUAGGUGGGGUAAGGGCUCACCUAGGCGACUAUCCCUAGCUGGUCUGAGAGGAUGACCACCCACACUGGAACUGAGACACGGGCCCGACUCCGACGGGAGGCAGCAGGGGGGAAUAUUGCACAAUGGGCGCAAGCCUGAUGCAGCCAUGCCGAGUGUGUGAAGAAGGCCUUCGGGUUGUAAAGCACUUUCAGCGGGGAGGCGUGACGCGCAGAAGAAGCACCGGCUAACUCCGUGCCAGCAGCCGCGGUAAUAC
This 406-nucleotide ribosomal RNA is filed under the name uncultured bacterium. Its description in RNAcentral is "partial 16S ribosomal RNA". It matches the Rfam family "Bacterial small subunit ribosomal RNA", at positions 29 to 526 of the family's 1533-position model. The record is from RNAcentral.